GAUGUAGAACGCAGCGAAAUGCGAUAAGUAGUGUGAAUUGCAGAAUUCAGUGAAUCAUCGAAUCUUUGAACGCACAUUGCGCCCUUUGGUAUUCCAAAGGGCAUGCCUGUUCGAGCGUCAUUUGUACCCUCAAGCUUUGCUUGGUGUUGGGCGUCUUGUCUCUAGCUUUGCUGGAGACUCGCCUUAAAGUAAUUGGCAGCCGGCCUACUGGUUUCGGAGCGCAGCACAAGUCGCACUCUCUAUCAGCAAAGGUCUAGCAUCCAUUAAGCCUUUUUUUCAACUUUUGACCUCGGAUCAGGUAGGGAUACCCGCUGAACUUAAGCAUAUCAAUAAGCGGAGGA
RNAcentral lists this unclassified non-coding RNA (341 nucleotides) under soil metagenome. Its description in RNAcentral is "partial contains 5.8S ribosomal RNA, internal transcribed spacer 2, and large subunit ribosomal RNA". The stretch from base 1 to 120 matches the Rfam family "5.8S ribosomal RNA", at positions 35 to 154 of the family's 154-position model. The record is from RNAcentral.